GGACUACUCGGGUAUCUAAUCCUGUUCGCUCCCCAUGCUUUCGCUCCUCAGCGUCAGUUAUGCCCCAGAGACCCGCCUUCGCCACCGGUGUUCCUCCUGAUAUCUGCGCAUUUCACCGCUACACCAGGAAUUCCAGUCUCCCCUAGCACACUCUAGUCUGCCCGUACCCGAUGCAAGCUCAAGGUUAAGCCUUGAGUUUUCACACCAGACGCGACAGACCGCCUACGAGCUCUUUACGCCCAAUAAUUCCGGACAACGCUUGCACCCUACGUAUUACCGCGGCUGCUGGCAC
RNAcentral lists this ribosomal RNA (292 nucleotides) under uncultured bacterium. Its description in RNAcentral is "partial 16S ribosomal RNA". The record is from RNAcentral.